GAUGAACGCUGACAGAAUGCUUAACACAUGCAAGUCUACUUGAUCCUUCGGGUGAUGGUGGCGGACGGGUGAGUAACGCGUAAAGAACUUGCCCUGCAGUCUGGGACAACAUUUGGAAACGAAUGCUAAUACCGGAUAUUAUGUGAGUUUCGCAUGAAAUUCAUAUGAAAGCUAUAUGCGCUGCAGGAGAGCUUUGCGUCCUAUUAGCUAGUUGGUGAGGUAACGGCUCACCAAGGCGAUGAUAGGUAGCCGGCCUGAGAGGGUGAACGGCCACAAGGGGACUGAGACACGGCCCUUACUCCUACGGGAGGCAGCAGUGGGGAAUAUUGGACAAUGGACCAAAAGUCUGAUCCAGCAAUUCUGUGUGCACGAUGAAGUUUUUCGGAAUGUAAAGUGCUUUCAGUUGGGACGAAGUAAGUGACGGUACCAACAGAAGAAGCGACGGCUAAAUACGUGCCAGCAGCCGCGGUAAUACGUAUGUCGCAAGCGUUAUCCGGAUUUAUUGGGCGUAAAGCGCGUCUAGGCGGUUUGGUAAGUCUGAUGUGAAAAUGCGGGGCUCAACUCCGUAUUGCGUUGGAAACUGCCAAACUAGAGUACUGGAGAGGUGGGCGGAACUACAAGUGUAGAGGUGAAAUUCAUAGAUAUUUGUAGGAAUGCCGAUGGGGAAGCCAGCCCACUGGACAGAUACUGACGCUAAAGCGCGAAAGCGUGGGUAGCAAACAGG
Molecule: ribosomal RNA, 724 nt
Filed under: uncultured bacterium
Lineage: Bacteria
Description: bacterial SSU rRNA
Rfam family: Bacterial small subunit ribosomal RNA
Source: RNAcentral